This is a long non-coding RNA of Sipha flava (yellow sugarcane aphid), 1021 nucleotides long. RefSeq lists it as uncharacterized. The record is from RefSeq and is a predicted model, not a curated record. The transcript is spliced from 4 exons. NCBI's taxonomy places the organism in Eukaryota, Metazoa, Arthropoda, Insecta, Hemiptera, Aphididae.
CGUAAAGUGGCGUAAUAGAUAGUAUUGUAAAGAUUCUAUUAAUACGAUACAGAAUGCAGAACUUGAACAACGCGAACGUAUUCACUUUUUAAAAAAAAGUUGAACAUUAACGUGAACGAAUUCAAUUUUUAAGUGAACUUUCUGAACAAUGGUUAUAAUCGUAGAUAACAAAGAAAAAUACGAUUAGUGAACGUUUUGAUAUUAAUAUGUCAAAAUCAAAUGUACGGAUUUUGCUGCCCCCCCCACUAAAAAUGAUUUCAAAUAUGCCACUGAUUAUUCGAAAUUAUAUUUGAUUCCAAGUUCGGAAAUAUCUGAUUUUGCAAUAAUUUAACGUCCAACGAUGGAAUUUUGUGCAUGGAUAUAAUAAAAGUUUUGUUGAACGGUCCAUCCAAAAUCCAUGUACGGUGGUGAGAUAAAACAAAUACUCAACAAAAAACCAUAUAAUAUUCCAAAUUCUCCAGUCAUAUAAACCGUUCAUUUCCAUUCAAGGCGCAGAAAACUUAUCAGAAAAUCGCCCAACGGUUAAAAAUACAUUGAAGCAAGAAUCUAUUAAAUGUCACUUGACAGUGUCCAUCCUCAUAUUAUACUCACAUUAAGUAAAUAUUUUCCCAAUCACAUAUGUUUAUUGCACGUUAUAUACGCAACAGAUUGUAAAUUGUAUUGUAAGGAAAAAAAAUCCCAAUAAAAUAUGCACACGAUGACGAUCAUUGUGAAAUGUGAUAUGGCGGCACACCACCGUGAAAAUUCGAAAACCAAUCGCGUCGAAAGAUCGCUAUCGACCACAAACUCGACCGCGCAUGGGAUCGUUCGCGGGUUCGCGUUUUCACAUCACCGCGGAUUUUGUCUGUGCACGUGUUUCUAUCAACUUCUAAUGUCUAUUGACAUAUUCUAACAUCUAUUGAUGUGCGAGACGUUGUACAGCGCAACGGAAAAUCGUAUUCACACCGCCAUUGCCGGUUAUGCUGUGUGCUACUGUACUUAAUCAGUGUCGCAUCAAAACAUGGGUCCAAAGGGCCCAGGC